This 2933-nucleotide ribosomal RNA is filed under the name Escherichia coli. Its description in RNAcentral is "23S ribosomal RNA". It matches the Rfam family "Bacterial large subunit ribosomal RNA". The record is from RNAcentral. Lineage: Bacteria; Pseudomonadati; Pseudomonadota; Gammaproteobacteria; Enterobacterales; Enterobacteriaceae.
GGGUUGUGAGGUUAAGCGACUAAGCGUACACGGUGGAUGCCCUGGCAGUCAGAGGCGAUGAAGGACGUGCUAAUCUGCGAUAAGCGUCGGUAAGGUGAUAUGAACCGUUAUAACCGGCGAUUUCCGAAUGGGGAAACCCAGUGUGAUUCGUCACACUAUCAUUAACUGAAUCCAUAGGUUAAUGAGGCGAACCGGGGGAACUGAAACAUCUAAGUACCCCGAGGAAAAGAAAUCAACCGAGAUUCCCCCAGUAGCGGCGAGCGAACGGGGAGCAGCCCAGAGCCUGAAUCAGUGUGUGUGUUAGUGGAAGCGUCUGGAAAGGCGCGCGAUACAGGGUGACAGCCCCGUACACAAAAAUGCACAUACUGUGAGCUCGAUGAGUAGGGCGGGACACGUGGUAUCCUGUCUGAAUAUGGGGGGACCAUCCUCCAAGGCUAAAUACUCCUGACUGACCGAUAGUGAACCAGUACCGUGAGGGAAAGGCGAAAAGAACCCCGGCGAGGGGAGUGAAAAAGAACCUGAAACCGUGUACGUACAAGCAGUGGGAGCACAGAGCAAUCUGUGUGACUGCGUACCUUUUGUAUAAUGGGUCAGCGACUUAUAUUCUGUAGCAAGGUUAACCGAAUAGGGGAGCCGAAGGGAAACCGAGUCUUAACUGGGCGUUAAGUUGCAGGGUAUAGACCCGAAACCCGGUGAUCUAGCCAUGGGCAGGUUGAAGGUUGGGUAACACUAACUGGAGGACCGAACCGACUAAUGUUGAAAAAUUAGCGGAUGACUUGUGGCUGGGGGUGAAAGGCCAAUCAAACCGGGAGAUAGCUGGUUCUCCCCGAAAGCUAUUUAGGUAGCGCCUCGUGAAUUCAUCUCCGGGGGUAGAGCACUGUUUCGGCAAGGGGGUCAUCCCGACUUACCAACCCGAUGCAAACUGCGAAUACCGGAGAAUGUUAUCACGGGAGACACACGGCGGGUGCUAACGUCCGUCGUGAAGAGGGAAACAACCCAGACCGCCAGCUAAGGUCCCAAAGUCAUGGUUAAGUGGGAAACGAUGUGGGAAGGCCCAGACAGCCAGGAUGUUGGCUUAGAAGCAGCCAUCAUUUAAAGAAAGCGUAAUAGCUCACUGGUCGAGUCGGCCUGCGCGGAAGAUGUAACGGGGCUAAACCAUGCACCGAAGCUGCGGCAGCGACGCUUAUGCGUUGUUGGGUAGGGGAGCGUUCUGUAAGCCUGUGAAGGUGUACUGUGAGGUAUGCUGGAGGUAUCAGAAGUGCGAAUGCUGACAUAAGUAACGAUAAAGCGGGUGAAAAGCCCGCUCGCCGGAAGACCAAGGGUUCCUGUCCAACGUUAAUCGGGGCAGGGUGAGUCGACCCCUAAGGCGAGGCCGAAAGGCGUAGUCGAUGGGAAACAGGUUAAUAUUCCUGUACUUGGUGUUACUGCGAAGGGGGGACGGAGAAGGCUAUGUUGGCCGGGCGACGGUUGUCCCGGUUUAAGCGUGUAGGCUGGUUUUCCAGGCAAAUCCGGAAAAUCAAGGCUGAGGCGUGAUGACGAGGCACUACGGUGCUGAAGCAACAAAUGCCCUGCUUCCAGGAAAAGCCUCUAAGCAUCAGGUAACAUCAAAUCGUACCCCAAACCGACACAGGUGGUCAGGUAGAGAAUACCAAGGCGCUUGAGAGAACUCGGGUGAAGGAACUAGGCAAAAUGGUGCCGUAACUUCGGGAGAAGGCACGCUGAUAUGUAGGUGAAGUCCUUCGCGGAUGGAGCUGAAAUCAGUCGAAGAUACCAGCUGGCUGCAACUGUUUAUUAAAAACACAGCACUGUGCAAACACGAAAGUGGACGUAUACGGUGUGACGCCUGCCCGGUGCCGGAAGGUUAAUUGAUGGGGUCAGCGCAAGCGAAGCUCUUGAUCGAAGCCCCGGUAAACGGCGGCCGUAACUAUAACGGUCCUAAGGUAGCGAAAUUCCUUGUCGGGUAAGUUCCGACCUGCACGAAUGGCGUAAUGAUGGCCAGGCUGUCUCCACCCGAGACUCAGUGAAAUUGAACUCGCUGUGAAGAUGCAGUGUACCCGCGGCAAGACGGAAAGACCCCGUGAACCUUUACUAUAGCUUGACACUGAACAUUGAGCCUUGAUGUGUAGGAUAGGUGGGAGGCUUUGAAGUGUGGACGCCAGUCUGCAUGGAGCCGACCUUGAAAUACCACCCUUUAAUGUUUGAUGUUCUAACGUUGACCCGUAAUCCGGGUUGCGGACAGUGUCUGGUGGGUAGUUUGACUGGGGCGGUCUCCUCCUAAAGAGUAACGGAGGAGCACGAAGGUUGGCUAAUCCUGGUCGGACAUCAGGAGGUUAGUGCAAUGGCAUAAGCCAGCUUGACUGCGAGCGUGACGGCGCGAGCAGGUGCGAAAGCAGGUCAUAGUGAUCCGGUGGUUCUGAAUGGAAGGGCCAUCGCUCAACGGAUAAAAGGUACUCCGGGGAUAACAGGCUGAUACCGCCCAAGAGUUCAUAUCGACGGCGGUGUUUGGCACCUCGAUGUCGGCUCAUCACAUCCUGGGGCUGAAGUAGGUCCCAAGGGUAUGGCUGUUCGCCAUUUAAAGUGGUACGCGAGCUGGGUUUAGAACGUCGUGAGACAGUUCGGUCCCUAUCUGCCGUGGGCGCUGGAGAACUGAGGGGGGCUGCUCCUAGUACGAGAGGACCGGAGUGGACGCAUCACUGGUGUUCGGGUUGUCAUGCCAAUGGCACUGCCCGGUAGCUAAAUGCGGAAGAGAUAAGUGCUGAAAGCAUCUAAGCACGAAACUUGCCCCGAGAUGAGUUCUCCCUGACUCCUUGAGAGUCCUGAAGGAACGUUGAAGACGACGACGUUGAUAGGCCGGGUGUGUAAGCGCAGCGAUGCGUUGAGCUAACCGGUACUAAUGAACCGUGAGGCUUAACCUUACAACGCCGAAGGUGUUU